AUUGAACGCUAGCGGCAGGCUUAACACAUGCAAGUCGAACGAGUGGCGGACGGGUGAGUAAUAUAUCGGAAAGUGCCCAGUGGCGGGGGAUAACUACUCGAAACAGUUGCUAAUACCGCCUACUAUUGGAGCGGCCGAUCUCGGAUUAGCUAGUUGGUGGGGUAAAGGAUCACAAAGGCGACGAGCCGGAGCUGGUGUGAGAGGACGACGAGCCACACGGGGACUGAGACACUGCCCAGACUCCUACGGGAGGCAGCAGUGGGGAAUAUUGGACAAUGGGGGAAACCCUGGUCCAGCCAUCGCGAGUGUAUGAGAAGGCCUUCGGUUUGUAAAGUACUUUUGGCAGAGAAGCGGUAUCUGCAGAAUAAGCACCGGCUAACUACGUGCCAGCAGCCGCGGUAAUUC
Molecule: ribosomal RNA, 405 nt
Filed under: uncultured bacterium
Lineage: Bacteria
Description: partial 16S ribosomal RNA
Rfam family: Bacterial small subunit ribosomal RNA
Source: RNAcentral